UGCGUAGGCGGAUCGAUAAGUCAGUGGUGAAAUCUCUCGGCUCAACCGGGAAACUGCCAUUGAUACUGUUGAUCUUGAGUUCGGUUGAGGUAGGCGGAAUGUGUAAUGUAGCGGUGAAAUGCUUAGAUAUUACACAGAACACCAAUUGCGUAGGCAGCUUACUAGACCGACACUGACGCUGAGGCACGAAAGCGUGGGGAGCGAACAGGAUUAGAUACCCUGGUAGUCC
RNAcentral lists this ribosomal RNA (229 nucleotides) under uncultured bacterium. Its description in RNAcentral is "partial 16S ribosomal RNA". It matches the Rfam family "Bacterial small subunit ribosomal RNA", at positions 568 to 796 of the family's 1533-position model. The record is from RNAcentral.